Molecule: transfer-messenger RNA, 86 nt
Filed under: Candidatus Poribacteria bacterium
Lineage: Bacteria; Candidatus Poribacteria
Rfam family: transfer-messenger RNA
About the family: Bacterial tmRNA, also known as 10Sa RNA or SsrA, is named for its dual tRNA and mRNA-like properties.
Source: RNAcentral
GGGGGUGAAAGGAUUCGACGGAGGACGAAAGCGUGGUUGCUUUCAAUUUUCUCCGGAAGUGGGUUCAAUUCCCACCACCUCCAUUU